This is a non-coding RNA of Bacteroides sp. CAG:462, 47 nucleotides long. Lineage: Bacteria; Pseudomonadati; Bacteroidota; Bacteroidia; Bacteroidales; Bacteroidaceae. The record is from Rfam.
GUUGUGACUUGCUUCCAAAUUACUAUCUUUGAACCAUCAGAGACAGU